This 751-nucleotide ribosomal RNA is filed under the name Escherichia coli. RNAcentral describes it as "partial 23S ribosomal RNA". It matches the Rfam family "Bacterial large subunit ribosomal RNA", at positions 439 to 1191 of the family's 2925-position model. The record is from RNAcentral. Lineage: Bacteria; Pseudomonadati; Pseudomonadota; Gammaproteobacteria; Enterobacterales; Enterobacteriaceae.
UGAAUAUGGGGGGACCAUCCUCCAAGGCUAAAUACUCCUGACUGACCGAUAGUGAACCAGUACCGUGAGGGAAAGGCGAAAAGAACCCCGGCGAGGGGAGUGAAAAAGAACCUGAAACCGUGUACGUACAAGCAGUGGGAGCACCCUUUUGGGUGUGACUGCGUACCUUUUGUAUAAUGGGUCAGCGACUUAUAUUCUGUAGCAAGGUUAACCGAAUAGGGGAGCCGAAGGGAAACCGAGUCUUAACUGGGCGUUAAGUUGCAGGGUAUAGACCCGAAACCCGGUGAUCUAGCCAUGGGCAGGUUGAAGGUUGGGUAACACUAACUGGAGGACCGAACCGACUAAUGUUGAAAAAUUAGCGGAUGACUUGUGGCUGGGGGUGAAAGGCCAAUCAAACCGGGAGAUAGCUGGUUCUCCCCGAAAGCUAUUUAGGUAGCGCCUCGUGAAUUCAUCUCCGGGGGUAGAGCACUGUUUCGGCAAGGGGGUCAUCCCGACUUACCAACCCGAUGCAAACUGCGAAUACCGGAGAAUGUUAUCACGGGAGACACACGGCGGGUGCUAACGUCCGUCGUGAAGAGGGAAACAACCCAGACCGCCAGCUAAGGUCCCAAAGUCAUGGUUAAGUGGGAAACGAUGUGGGAAGGCCCAGACAGCCAGGAUGUUGGCUUAGAAGCAGCCAUCAUUUAAAGAAAGCGUAAUAGCUCACUGGUCGAGUCGGCCUGCGCGGAAGAUGUAACGGGGCUAAACCAUG